This 107-nucleotide small RNA is filed under the name Marmota monax (woodchuck). The record is from RNAcentral. Lineage: Eukaryota; Metazoa; Chordata; Mammalia; Rodentia; Sciuridae.
ACUGGGCAUGGUGGUACAUGCCUAUAAUCCUAGUCACUGGGGAGGCUGAGGUAGGAGAAUUGCAAGGUCAAGUCCAGCCUGAACAACUUAGCAAGACCCUGUCUCAA